UACGAAGGGGGCUAGCGUUGCUCGGAAUUACUGGGCGUAAAGCGCACGUAGGCGGAUCCUUAAGUCGGUGGUGAAAUCCUGAAGCUCAACUUCAGAACUGCCUUCGAUACUGGGGACCUUGAGUUCGGGAGAGGUGAGUGGAACUGCGAGUGUAGAGGUGAAAUUCGUAGAUAUUCGCAAGAACACCAGUGGCGAAGGCGGCUCACUGGCCCGGUACUGACGCUGAGGUGCGAAAGCGUGGGGAGCAAACAGG
RNAcentral lists this ribosomal RNA (253 nucleotides) under uncultured bacterium. Its description in RNAcentral is "partial 16S ribosomal RNA". It matches the Rfam family "Bacterial small subunit ribosomal RNA", at positions 524 to 776 of the family's 1533-position model. The record is from RNAcentral.